This 274-nucleotide ribosomal RNA is filed under the name uncultured bacterium. RNAcentral's name for it is "partial 16S ribosomal RNA". It matches the Rfam family "Bacterial small subunit ribosomal RNA", at positions 523 to 796 of the family's 1533-position model. The record is from RNAcentral.
AUACGGAGGGUCCGAGCGUUAUACGGAAUCAUUGGGUUUAAAGGGUCCGUAGGCGGGAAUCUAAGUCAGUGGUGAAAUCUUGCAGCUCAACUGUAAAAUUGCCAUUGAUACUGGAUUUCUUGAAUUAGUGUGAAGUGAUUAGAAUGUGUAGUGUAGCGGUGAAAUGCAUAGAUAUUACACAGAAUACCAAUUGCGAAGGCAGAUCACUAACACUAUAUUGACGCUGAGGGACGAAAGCGUGGGGAGCGAACAGGAUUAGAAACCCUAGUAGUCC